CGUGUCGCGCAUAUCUGCAUAUCAAUAAGCGGAGGAAAAGAAACUAACAAGGAUUCCCUUAGUAACGGCGAGUGAAGCGGGAAGAGCACAAAUUUGAAAUCUUCAAGGUUCUACCUUGACGAAUUGUAGUUUAAAGAAGUGUUUUCUGUUAGAUGAGUAGCAAAAGUUCCUUGGAAUGGGACAUCAUAGAGGGUGAGAAUCCCGUAUUUGGUUAUUCAUUCUAGCUUUGUGAUACACUUUCAAAGAGUCGGAUUGUUUGGGAAUGCAGUCCAAAAUGGGUGGUAAAUUUCAUCUAAAGCUAAAUAUUGGCGAGAGACCGAUAGCGAACAAGUACCGUGAGGGAAAGAUGAAAAGAACUUUGAAAAGAGAGUUAAACAGUACGUGAAAUUGUCAAAAGGGAGGCGUUUGACACCAGUGUUGUUUUUCCGAAAAUCAAUUACGAAUGGCUUGAUUUUGUGUUGUAUUGACCUUAUCAGCUUUCUUCACUUUUUUCGAGUCUUUCUUAAUGCACUUUUCGGUUAACAAGUCAACAUCAAUUUCUUUUGUUGUAAAAGAGUAUUCGGAAGGUGACUUUCUUUUCGGAGAAAGUGUUUAUAGCCCUAUACUUCUACAAUCGGAGAGAUUGAGGUCUGCAGCGUAGAUCCUUCGGGGUUAGAUACACUUGUGCUAAGUUGUAGCUUUUCAUAGACAACUUGUUGACUAUGUUUAGUCAUGCGGCUUACUCGCUUGUGCUAUUUUACCUACGCUUAGGAUGUUGACGCGCGUGUGCGCAUAUCUGCAUAUCAAUAAGCGGAGGAAAAGGCGGAAUGAACGCUACUACGCUUAGGAUGUUGAAGAUAUGCGCGACACG
This 850-nucleotide ribosomal RNA is filed under the name uncultured Neocallimastigales. Its description in RNAcentral is "partial large subunit ribosomal RNA". It matches the Rfam family "Eukaryotic large subunit ribosomal RNA", at positions 24 to 644 of the family's 3401-position model. Lineage: Eukaryota; Fungi; Neocallimastigomycota; Neocallimastigomycetes; Neocallimastigales. The record is from RNAcentral.